Non-coding RNA from Podarcis lilfordi (Lilford's wall lizard), 73 nucleotides. The record is from the annotation of a GenBank genome assembly. NCBI's taxonomy places the organism in Eukaryota, Metazoa, Chordata, Lepidosauria, Squamata, Lacertidae.
GCUAGGAUAGCUCAGUCGGUAAAGCAGGAGACUUUUAAUCUCAGGGUUGUGAGUUCGAGCACAAUGUUGGGCA